CCUACGGGUGGCAGCAGUGGGGAAUAUUGGACAAUGGGGGAAACCCUGAUCCAGCAAUGCCGCGUGAGUGAUGAAGGCCUUCGGGUUGUAAAGCUCUUUUGUCAGGGACGAUGAUGACGGUACCUGACGAAUAAGCUCCGUCUAACUUCGUGCCAGCAGCCGCGGUAAUACGAGGGGAGCUAGCGUUGUUCGGAAUUACUGGGCGUAAAGGGCGUGUAGGCGGUACCAUAAGUCAGAUGUGAACGCCCUAGGCUGAACCUAGGAGGUGCAUUUGAUACUGUGGAACUAGAGAUCGAGAGAGGAAAGUGGAAUUACGAGUGUAGAGGUGAAAUUCGUAGAUAUUCGUAAGAACACCAGUGGCGAAGGCGACUUUCUGGCUCGAUACUGACGCUAAGGCGCGAAAGCGUGGGGAGCAAACAGGAUUAGAUACCCCAGUAGUC
This 440-nucleotide ribosomal RNA is filed under the name uncultured bacterium. RNAcentral describes it as "partial 16S ribosomal RNA". It matches the Rfam family "Bacterial small subunit ribosomal RNA", at positions 338 to 795 of the family's 1533-position model. The record is from RNAcentral.